UAUAUGCUGGAAUGCUUUAUGCGUAAAAUGGAUUCGUCUGCCCAAGGAUGGGUCUGCGGCCUAUCAGGUAGUAUUGGGUGUAAUGUACCUACUAGCCUACAACGGGUACGGGUUGUGAGAGCAAGAGCCCGGAGAUGGAUUCUGAGACAUGAAUCCAGGCCCUACGGGGCGCAGCAGGCGCGAAAACUUUACAAUGCGGGAAACCGUGAUAAGGGGACACCGAGUGCCAGCAUCAUAUGCUGGCUGUCCAGAUGUGUAAAAUACAUCUGUUAGCAAGGGCCGGGCAAGACCGGUGCCAGCCGCCGCGGUAACACCGGCGGCCCGAGUGGUGAUCGUGAUUAUUGGGUCUAAAGGGUCCGUAGCCGGUUUGGUCAGUCCUCCGGGAAAUCUGAUAGCUCAACUAUUAGGCUUUCGGGGGAUACUGCCAGGCUUGGAACCGGGAGAGGUAAGAGGUACUACAGGGGUAGGAGUGAAAUCUUGUAAUCCCUGUGGGACCACCUGUGGCGAAGGCGUCUUACCAGAACGGGUUCGACGGUGAGGGACGAAAGCUGGGGGCACGAACCGGAUUAGAUACCCGGGUAGUCC
Molecule: ribosomal RNA, 585 nt
Filed under: Methanosarcina siciliae
Lineage: Archaea; Methanobacteriati; Methanobacteriota; Methanomicrobia; Methanosarcinales; Methanosarcinaceae
Description: bacterial SSU rRNA
Rfam family: Archaeal small subunit ribosomal RNA
Source: RNAcentral